GUGGGGUCCGCAAGGGUCCCACAGUAGGGUCCACAUGGGUCCCACAGCGGGGUCCACCCCAUGGGUCCCACAUGUUGAUGCAGUAGUGAUAUAGUGAUGACUUAAGCAAAUUACUAUGCUUGAUAUUUUGAAUAUUUUAUUAUUUUACUAUGCUUGAUAUUUUUAAUAUUUUAUUAUUUUACUAUGCAGCAUAGUAACCCAAUGUUUUCCUAUAAAUAGAGCCUUUCAGAAUUCAUUUUGAAUUACGAAAAAUCUUUCUUUCUCUCACUCUGCCUAAAAUCUUCUUAACACUCUUUUAAAGUUUUAAAUCUCUAAAAUCUAGGCGAAGUUCUGUUUGUAACGCUAGCCUACGAAGACCUUUUUGGGAAGCUAACAAUUUCGGUUGUUUUAUCAAGACGCAAGGUAAGAGGCCCCAAAUAUAAAUCGUUGAUGAGUAUACGUGGAGCCAACAUGACUGUACAUAUGGGGCUGACCUGAAGGGAGUGGAGUUCUGCUAUGCUAUUUUAUAAAUAAACAAGAAACUUGGUUUUAUUAUAUUUCAUUAAAAGUAUUUUGUGAACUUUAUCAUUUACUUAAAGCUUUAAAAGUAUUUCAUGAACUUUGUAAUUUACAUAAAGCUUUUCAAUUUAUCAGUUGGAUACAUUUUCAUUUCUACGUUAAGGUGUA
This is a long non-coding RNA of Humulus lupulus (European hop), 666 nucleotides long. RefSeq lists it as uncharacterized. The transcript has 3 exons. The record is from RefSeq and is a predicted model, not a curated record. NCBI's taxonomy places the organism in Eukaryota, Viridiplantae, Streptophyta, Magnoliopsida, Rosales, Cannabaceae.